GGGAACUGAAACAUCUAAGUACCCCGAGGAAAAGAAAUCAACCGAGAUUCCCCCAGUAGCGGCGAGCGAACGGGGAGCAGCCCAGAGCCUGAAUCAGUGUGUGUGUUAGUGGAAGCGUCUGGAAAGGCGCGCGAUACAGGGUGACAGCCCCGUACACAAAAAUGCACAUGCUGUGAGCUCGAUGAGUAGGGCGGGACACGUGGUAUCCUGUCUGAAUAUGGGGGGACCAUCCUCCAAGGCUAAAUACUCCUGACUGACCGAUAGUGAACCAGUACCGUGAGGGAAAGGCGAAAAGAACCCCGGCGAGGGGAGUGAAAAAGAACCUGAAACCGUGUACGUACAAGCAGUGGGAGCACGCUUCGGCGUGUGACUGCGUACCUUUUGUAUAAUGGGUCAGCGACUUAUAUUCUGUAGCAAGGUUAACCGAAUAGGGGAGCCGAAGGGAAACCGAGUCUUAACUGGGCGUUAAGUUGCAGGGUAUAGACCCGAAACCCGGUGAUCUAGCCAUGGGCAGGUUGAAGGUUGGGUAACACUAACUGGAGGACCGAACCGACUAAUGUUGAAAAAUUAGCGGAUGACUUGUGGCUGGGGGUGAAAGGCCAAUCAAACCGGGAGAUAGCUGGUUCUCCCCGAAAGCUAUUUAGGUAGCGCCUCGUGAAUUCAUCUCCGGGGGUAGAGCACUGUUUCGGCAAGGGGGUCAUCCCGACUUACCAACCCGAUGCAAACUGCGAAUACCGGAGAAUGUUAUCACGGGAGACACACGGCGGGUGCUAACGUCCGUCGUGAAGAGGGAAACAACCCAGACCGCCAGCUAAGGUCCCAAAGUCAUGGUUAAGUGGGAAACGAUGUGGGAAGGCCCAGACAGCCAGGAUGUUGGCUUAGAAGCAGCCAUCAUUUAAAGAAAGCGUAAUAGCUCACUGGUCGAGUCGGCCUGCGCGGAAGAUGUAACGGGGCUAAACCAUGCACCGAAGCUGCGGCAGCGACACUAUGUGUUGUUGGGUAGGGGAGCGUUCUGUAAGCCUGUGAAGGUGUACUGUGAGGUAUGCUGGAGGUAUCAGAAGUGCGAAUGCUGACAUAAGUAACGAUAAAGCGGGUGAAAAGCCCGCUCGCCGGAAGACCAAGGGUUCCUGUCCAACGUUAAUCGGGGCAGGGUGAGUCGACCCCUAAGGCGAGGCCGAAAGGCGUAGUCGAUGGGAAACAGGUUAAUAUUCCUGUACUUGGUGUUACUGCGAAGGGGGGACGGAGAAGGCUAUGUUGGCCGGGCGACGGUUGUCCCGGUUUAAGCGUGUAGGCUGGUUUUCCAGGCAAAUCCGGAAAAUCAAGGCUGAGGCGUGAUGACGAGGCACUACGGUGCUGAAGCAACAAAUGCCCUGCUUCCAGGAAAAGCCUCUAAGCAUCAGGUAACAUCAAAUCGUACCCCAAACCGACACAGGUGGUCAGGUAGAGAAUACCAAGGCGCUUGAGAGAACUCGGGUGAAGGAACUAGGCAAAAUGGUGCCGUAACUUCGGGAGAAGGCACGCUGAUAUGUAGGUGAAGCGACUUGCUCGUGGAGCUGAAAUCAGUCGAAGAUACCAGCUGGCUGCAACUGUUUAUUAAAAACACAGCACUGUGCAAACACGAAAGUGGACGUAUACGGUGUGACGCCUGCCCGGUGCCGGAAGGUUAAUUGAUGGGGUUAGCG
RNAcentral lists this ribosomal RNA (1682 nucleotides) under Escherichia coli. RNAcentral's name for it is "partial 23S ribosomal RNA". It matches the Rfam family "Bacterial large subunit ribosomal RNA", at positions 188 to 1895 of the family's 2925-position model. Lineage: Bacteria; Pseudomonadati; Pseudomonadota; Gammaproteobacteria; Enterobacterales; Enterobacteriaceae. The record is from RNAcentral.